Molecule: ribosomal RNA, 468 nt
Filed under: uncultured bacterium
Lineage: Bacteria
Description: partial 16S ribosomal RNA
Rfam family: Bacterial small subunit ribosomal RNA
Source: RNAcentral
GACGAACGCUGGCGGCGUGCUUAACACAUGCAAGUCGAACGGAAAGGCCCUGCUUUUGUGGGGUGCUCGAGUGGCGAACGGGUGAGUAACACGUGAGUAACCUUCCCUUGACUUUGGGAUAACUUCAGGAAACUGGGGCUAAUACCGGAUAGGAGCUCCUGCUGCAUGGUGGGGGUUGGAAAGUUUCGGCGGUUGGGGAUGGACUCGCGGCUUAUCAGCUUGGUGGUGGGGUAGUGGCUUACCAAGGCUUUGACGGGUAGCCGGCCUGAGAGGGUGACCGGCCACAUUGGGACUGAGAUACGGACCAGACUCCUACGGGAGGCAGCAGUGGGGAAUAUUGCACAAUGGGCGGAAGCCUGAUGAAGCAACGUCGCGUGCGGGAUGAAGGCCUUCGGGUUGUAAACCGCUUUCGCCUGUGACGAAGCGUGAGUGACGGUAAUGGGUAAAGAAGCACCGGCUAACUACGUG